Molecule: long non-coding RNA, 299 nt
Filed under: Gopherus agassizii (Agassiz's desert tortoise)
Lineage: Eukaryota; Metazoa; Chordata; Testudines; Testudinidae
Description: lncRNA (ENSGAGG00000000977.1)
Source: RNAcentral
CGUUGCUCAGCCCCGGACGGACGCGGGCGCCUCGCCAGGGGAGAAGCCGGGGACUCGGGCGCGGCCCCUUUAAGGCUGCUCCUGCCCGCUGGGGGCGAUGAGGAGCUGGAAGCGGCCGAGGAGCCAGGCGCAGCCUGACAGGUAGGCGGGGAGCCGGGCACGAUCCCUGCCAGGCCGGCGCUGGAUGGAGCCGGCUGCAGUGUCGCCUCCCCGGCCUCGGGCUGGCGAUGGAGCGGGCGCAGCGGCAGGAGGCGGAGGGCUGGCUGGCUUCCCCUGAGAUGAUCUGAAGAGGAGCUGGA